GGUGGCUCAGUAGUAGAGCGCUUGCCUCGCAUGCAUGAGGCCUUGGGUUCGAUUCCUCAGCACCA
This 65-nucleotide transfer RNA is filed under the name Dipodomys ordii (Ord's kangaroo rat). It matches the Rfam family "tRNA". From Rfam's summary of the family: Transfer RNA (tRNA) molecules are approximately 80 nucleotides in length. Their secondary structure includes four short double-helical elements and three loops (D, anti-codon, and T loops). The record is from Rfam by way of RNAcentral. Lineage: Eukaryota; Metazoa; Chordata; Mammalia; Rodentia; Heteromyidae.